This 253-nucleotide ribosomal RNA is filed under the name uncultured bacterium. RNAcentral's name for it is "partial 16S ribosomal RNA". It matches the Rfam family "Bacterial small subunit ribosomal RNA", at positions 524 to 776 of the family's 1533-position model. The record is from RNAcentral.
UACGUAGGGUGCAAGCGUUGUCCGGAAUUAUUGGGCGUAAAGAGCUUGUAGGCGGUUUGUCGCGUCUGCUGUGAAAUUUCGGGGCUCAACCCCGAACUUGCAGUGGGUACGGGCAGACUAGAGUGUGGUAGGGGAGACUGGAAUUCCUGGUGUAGCGGUGAAAUGCGCAGAUAUCAGGAGGAACACCGGCGGCGAAGGCGGCACUCUGGGCCGGUACUGACGCUGAGGAGCGAAAGCGUGGGGAGCGAACAGG